GUGUGGCUGUGGCCAUUGAUUGACACAUUAAACUCAUCCAUUGACUGGGACAAUUUACGUGAACGUUUGUCUGUAACGACCACUGUUCACGACGUAUCUACGAUAGACAUUUAAACUGUGGGGUCACCAAAGGUUUCUUAACGCCUUUAAUUAUAAAAUAAUUCGAAAAAUUAAUCAGGAAUAACCUUUAUGUUUUGAUUUAUAUAUUUGAUAUAAAUCAA
This 221-nucleotide long non-coding RNA is filed under the name Mytilus galloprovincialis (Mediterranean mussel). Lineage: Eukaryota; Metazoa; Mollusca; Bivalvia; Mytilida; Mytilidae. The record is from RNAcentral.